This is a long non-coding RNA of Cebus imitator (Panamanian white-faced capuchin), 1578 nucleotides long. RefSeq lists it as uncharacterized. The record is from RefSeq and is a predicted model, not a curated record. The transcript is spliced from 3 exons. Lineage: Eukaryota; Metazoa; Chordata; Mammalia; Primates; Cebidae.
CCGCGGCAGCAUCUGAGGCUGCCGCUCUGCCCUCGCUGCGCAGCUACGGGCUCCUCACCCCGGCCCAGCGUCUCCGGGAGGGACGACUUGCCCGCCCUGCGCUUCCCCCGGGCAGGCCCAGCUAUCGCCACAGGUGGAACUGUCAGCACGCUCUACAAAUGUAAAGAUCGCAGAUACUUAAGGGCCUUGAAUGAGUUUGCAGGAGAGCUCAGGCCUCCAUCCCAUCCCUUCCGGCAUUAAACUUUUGGAAGAAAUUGGGAUUCACAGAAUGGGAGAUUCGCCAGAGAAUAAGCCUGAUGGGAAGUCUGGAGAUAACGGGACACCCAACCAGCAGAUGUGAAACCUGAAAUUAGUGAUCCGCCAAAGGAAAUGAUGAACUAUGAUCCCAGGUCUGUCUAACCUAUACUUGUCUCCAAAGGGUAGGGCAGAGUUUCAUUUCUCCCAAUAGUGAUAUUCAGCCUCUUUAAAGCCUCUUUUAGCAAAAUAUUAUAAUAAACUAUUCUCUAAUAAACAGUGAGCAGUAUCUGUUUGAGCAAACAUUCUUGGAUGAAAUGAGAUGAGGUAACUGAAGAAGGCAUUAAAAACUAUAAUAUUCCUUAUAAAUUAAGAUUUAUUUUCAUCUUGAAUGAUGGCUCUUACAUCAUCAUCCUAAAGUAUAAAAUAAUUUUUUCUGAAAAUGCUUGUUUCCUCAUUUUAUUACCUUCAACAUUUUUCAUUAUUACAAAAUGUUUAUUUCAAAAAUUUUCUCAAAAUUUUUCUGACAUAGCCACUGCAAUUUUUCUUCAGUAGAAAUGUAAUAUAAAUUGAAAUAGAGCUUUCUCUUCAUUAUAAAAUAUUUUCCCAAAUUGCAGAGUAACUCAAUUUUUAGUCAAAGUUGUUUAAUUUUGGAAAAGCUUUUCUGAAGUCUUAACAUCCAAUUAGCUUUUCAAAGAGCCCUAGUAUAGCACAAAAACAUCAUUAUCCCUUACAAAAACUGUAUUUUUAUUUCCCUGGUAAUUUUUCCUGACAUACUUAGAGGUCAAGGACCCUGUGUUGCAAAAUUCCGGGAGUUACUGUGUUCAAAAGAUAUACUGUAAAUUAUGCUUCCAGAAAUUGGCUCAUACAAGGGUUCAAAUGGAACUUUCAUGUAUUAUUUUUUUUGCUUCUUGUUAACUAAUUUUAGAAGAUUGGAAGUGGGGGUGUCCAUGCUUUAGAUCCUUCUAAAAAAGGAUGAAUUAACAUUUGCUCUUGCUUUCUGGUAAAAACUACUCAUUGAGUUAACGGCUAAAAAAUUGAAUUUCAAUAUUACCAUAAAUUUGAAGUGCAUAAUAUCUCCUUGUGAAGGAGGAGUUUGGGCAAAGUAUAAAUAAGUAAUUAAAAUUGGGCUCAACUAAACAGUUUGUUGUGGAGGGAGAAGCGAUCUCCUCUUCAUGAAUGGAAAUUAAAUGUUUUUGUAGAGCGCCCCAGCUAUUGUGACAGUGCAAAUUAUAUUAAUAGCUAAUAGAGAAUUCAAAAUUUUUCCAAGUUACAAAGGCUCACCCUUUUAAUUGAGUUUUGUGUGAUUGUCACAUGAAUGAAAUCAAAUCUAAGCAUUUCUCA